RNAcentral lists this ribosomal RNA (828 nucleotides) under uncultured crenarchaeote. RNAcentral describes it as "bacterial SSU rRNA". It matches the Rfam family "Archaeal small subunit ribosomal RNA", at positions 52 to 859 of the family's 1478-position model. The record is from RNAcentral. Lineage: Archaea; Thermoproteati; Thermoproteota.
UGCGAGUCACGUGUCUCUAGCUAUGUUGAGACACGGCAGACGGCUCAGUAACGCGUGGCUAACCUGCCCUCAGGACGAAGAUAACCCCGGGAAACUGGGGAUAAUAUUCGAUAGGUGAGGAUGUCUGGAAUGACUUCUCUCCUAAAGGACCUAGAUACAUGCUUCUAUGUCGCCUGGGGAUGGGGCCGCGCCCGAUCAGGUUGUUGGUGAGGUAACGGCUCACCAAGCCUAUAACCGGUACGGGCCGUGAGGGCGGUAGCCCGGAGAUGGGUACUGAGACAAGGACCCAGGCCCUACGGGGCGCAGCAGUCGCGAAAACUCCGCAAUGCACGAAAGUGUGACGGGGCUACCCCGAGUGCCAUCCGCUGAGGAUGGCUUUUCUUUGGUAUAACUAGCCAUUGGAAUAAGGAGAGGGCAAGACUGGUGUCAGCCGCCGCGGUAAUACCAGCUCUCCGAGUGGUAGGGAUGAUUAUUGGGCUUAAAGCGUCCGUAGCCGGCUUAGCAAGUUUCCUGUUAAACCCAGCGACUCAAUCGUUGGAUCGCGGGAAAUACUACUAGGCUAGGAGGCGGGAGAGGUCAACGGUACUUCUGGGGUAGGGGUGAAAUCCUAUAAUCCCGGGAGGACCACCAGUGGCGAAGGCUGUUGACUAGAACGCGCUCGACGGUGAGGGACGAAAGCUGGGGGAGCGAACCGGAUUAGAUACCCCGGGUAGUCCCAGCUGUAAACGAUGCGAGCUAGGUGUUGGGAUGGCUACGGGCCAUUUCAGUGCCGCAGGGAAGCCAUUAAGCUCGCCGCCUGGGGAGUACGGCCGCAAGGCUGAAACUUAA